GAUGGAAGAGGAAAUUACGAAUCAUAUACAAAUCCUGCUGGUGCAGUUAGCAGUUAUGGAAAAGAUUAUGGUCCCGGUGGUUCCAGGCCUGGUAGUGAUGAUCGUUACGGUUAUGACAGCUAUGGAGGCAUGCCCUCCUACAACCAAUCACGCGAUAAUUACGGUGGUUCGACCACGGGCUACGGCCCUCCCCGCGGGGGCGGAGUUCCACCUCCGCGACAUUACUAGCUCGAGAAAGGAAGCGCCAACUGUCAUUUACACAGGUUAAUAUUUACGAGACGUAAUUAGAUUCGUUUAACUGUCCAAUUUUUGUAGGAAUACUUGUAUCAGUGAUUAUGAUUGACAUUUCAUGUUUCGAAAAUGUACAGAUUCACACAAAAGCUUUUUAAAUCAUUAUACCGAAAAUCUAUAGAAUAUGACCGAUAAAUAAUCACAGCCCUUCAUCAUCCAUUUUGAACUCAUAAUUAUUCAUGUAUUUGGGUAAUUGUUUAAUGUAUUGUUCUUUGCUGUAUAUAGGUAUCAUGUUAUAAAAAAAAUCAUUUCAUUUUUAAAACAACCUCAUUGUAACAAGCUAUUAGUGAAGAGCUUUUGUAAUGUGAUGCGUUGGGUGACGUUUCUUUACAUAGCCGAGUAUUUAACCAUCAACCGAUCAUUUUCACUGAAUUUAUCAAAUGUACGUGAAUUUUUAUUGUGAAACUAUAGUUAAUAUUUCUGUAUUUGCAGUAAGUUGGUGCAUAAAUAUGGUUGUUUUAUCUGAAUUAUUGCUUAAAUAAAAUAAAAGAUUUUAAACUAAA
Molecule: long non-coding RNA, 794 nt
Organism: Centruroides sculpturatus (bark scorpion)
Lineage: Eukaryota; Metazoa; Arthropoda; Arachnida; Scorpiones; Buthidae
Exons: 2
Source: RefSeq, a predicted model, not a curated record